This 323-nucleotide unclassified non-coding RNA is filed under the name soil metagenome. Its description in RNAcentral is "partial contains 5.8S ribosomal RNA, internal transcribed spacer 2, and large subunit ribosomal RNA". The stretch from base 1 to 120 matches the Rfam family "5.8S ribosomal RNA", at positions 35 to 154 of the family's 154-position model. The record is from RNAcentral.
GAUGAAGAACGUAGCGAAAUGCGAUAAGUAAUGUGAAUUGCAGAAUUCAGUGAAUCAUCGAAUCUUUGAACGCACAUUGCGCCCCUUGGUAUUCCGGGGGGCAUGCCUGUUCGAGCGUCAUUAUAACCCUCAAGCCUAGCUUGGUGUUGGAGCAUGCUAUCUAGCAGCUCUUAAAAUCAGUGGCAGUGCCCUUCGGCUCUAAGCGUAGUAACUUCUCUCGCUAUGGAAACCGGAUGGUACGCGCCAAAACCCCCAACUUUCUAUGGUUGACCUCGGAUCAGGUAGGGAUACCCGCUGAACUUAAGCAUAUCAUAAGCGGAGGA